AUUGAACGCUGGCGGCAGGCCUAACACAUGCCAGUCGAGCGGAUGAAGGGAGCUUGCUCCUGGAUUCAGCGGCGGACGGGUGAGUAAUGCCUAGGAAUCUGCCUGGUAGUGGGGGAUAACGUCCGGAAACGGGCGCUAAUACCGCAUACGUCCUGAGGGAGAAAGUGGGGGAUCUUCGGACCUCACGCUAUCAGAUGAGCCUAGGUCGGAUUAGCUAGUUGGUGGGGUAAAGGCCUACCAAGGCGACGAUCCGUAACUGGUCUGAGAGGAUGAUCAGUCACACUGGAACUGAGACACGGUCCAGACUCCUACGGGAGGCAGCAGUGGGGAAUAUUGGACAAUGGGCGAAAGCCUGAUCCAGCCAUGCCGCGUGUGUGAAGAAGGUCUUCGGAUUGUAAAGCACUUUAAGUUGGGAGGAAGGGCAGUAAGUUAAUACCUUCCUGUUUUGACGUUACCAACAGAAUAAGCACCGGCUAACUUCGUG
RNAcentral lists this ribosomal RNA (484 nucleotides) under uncultured bacterium. Its description in RNAcentral is "partial 16S ribosomal RNA". It matches the Rfam family "Bacterial small subunit ribosomal RNA", at positions 30 to 507 of the family's 1533-position model. The record is from RNAcentral.